Suncus etruscus (white-toothed pygmy shrew) is the source of this 214-nucleotide small nucleolar RNA. RefSeq annotates it as small nucleolar RNA U3. The transcript has a single exon. Lineage: Eukaryota; Metazoa; Chordata; Mammalia; Eulipotyphla; Soricidae. The record is from RefSeq and is a predicted model, not a curated record.
AAAACUAUACUUUCAGGGAUCAACCAUUUCUAUAGUAUGUGACUAGAGAAGUUUCUCUGAUUGUAGAGCAACCGAAGCCACUAAGGAGCCAGAGUGUCCUCUCCUGAGCGUGAAGCAGGCUCCAGGUGUUCCUUCUGCGAUUGCCUUUGGCCACUGAUAAUCGUCCUUCUCUUCCUUUGGAAGGGAUAGAGUGAGAGGAUGCAGUCUGAGUGGG